UCAAUAUGAAUAUUGUUAGGGACUAAUUUACUAAUAAACCAAACCUUUUUAAGUGGAUAAGGGGAAGAAAGUGACAAAAAAAGAUAUCAAUUCAAUAGAAAAAUAUGCAUGAUGUAGUACAAGAAACAUAUCACGAGGCCGGGUGGAAGAGGCGGGUGGGGACACUGAUAAUUCAGGGUGGUGGAGGAGUCGGGACCCGCAAAAACAAGGCAAACUAUUGAAAAUCCCAGCUGACCUAAUUCAAAAAAAAAAAAAAAACCUUUGAAAGGCGUGGCUUGUUUCUGGGCUUUCAUGCAAAACAAAACACGUGGCCCAAUAUCCCUUUAAUAUGGACAGGAAAAUGAGUAGCCUGACAUGACCCGAAUCGCUUGCAAUGGGACCCCUUGUGAUCACCUGCAUGUGAACCACCGAGCUUAUGCAUCUUAUCCAGGGAACCAUUGUCUCUUCUCCUUUCUUUCUCUUCUUUUCCUUUCUCAUCCUUUUUCAACAUCAAACAAAACCUUUCUUUUCUUUUCUUUUUUUUUUAAUCUUAUGAACUAUUAUAGCUAAUUAUUUUUCUAAUCAAAGGACCAAAAAAUAUUUAAGUUAAUUGCAUCAAACAUUCUCAAAUUAUGACAUUUAUUUUAAAUUAGUCACUAAAUUUUAAAUCUUUUCAAUUACAUCCUCUAACUAUUGAGAUUAUGUCAAUUAGGUCCUUCAGUUAUUCAAAUAAUUAAUUUAACUAUUAAAUGACUCGUCAGAUAUUAUAUGUCAUAAUUUAAAAUAAAAAUUUAAAAAAAUAAAUAUUUUAAAAUAUUAAUUUUGAGAUUUUCGAAACUUUUACAAAAGUUUUAUUCAUUACACUUUCUUUUUUUUUUUUGUUUUUUCAGUUUCACUUUGUUUUUAAUUUAAACUUUUAAAAGUUAUGCAACUACGUUCUAAUUUUCUUUAAAAUUUUCUUUUUAAAUUUAAUUACAUAAUAUUUGAUGUGUCAUUUAAUGAUUUUAAUAACAAAUAGGCUUGAUUAAUAUAACAUUAAUAGUCUAGAGAUAUAAUUAUAAUGUUUUGAAAUUAGGGACCAAUUUAAAAUGAUGAUUAUAAUUUAAGGAUGUUUAGUCAAUUAACUCAAUAUUUAUUUAGUAUUUGUACGGUCUCGGAUUAAUGGUAGAUUUUCUUGUUCAAAGUUUUUAAGCCUGUCGGCUGAUAUAAUGGGGAAAAGAAAAUUUGUUUGGGAUUAUUAUUUAAUAAUUAAUAAUUAUUUUUAUUGAAUGUAAGCAUAAAAAUAUAUAAUAUUUGAAUAUUUUUAAAUAAUAAAAAAUAUUUUUAUUUU
RNAcentral lists this long non-coding RNA (1309 nucleotides) under Gossypium barbadense (sea-island cotton). Its description in RNAcentral is "long non-coding RNA (GBAR_LNC001510)". Lineage: Eukaryota; Viridiplantae; Streptophyta; Magnoliopsida; Malvales; Malvaceae. The record is from RNAcentral.